Molecule: transfer RNA, 72 nt
Filed under: Pangasianodon hypophthalmus (striped catfish)
Lineage: Eukaryota; Metazoa; Chordata; Actinopteri; Siluriformes; Pangasiidae
Rfam family: tRNA
About the family: Transfer RNA (tRNA) molecules are approximately 80 nucleotides in length. Their secondary structure includes four short double-helical elements and three loops (D, anti-codon, and T loops).
Source: Rfam by way of RNAcentral
UGCCUGGAAGAUUAGUGGUUAGGCCUCGGCGCUCUCACCGCCAUGGCCUGGGUUCAAUUCCCGGCCAGGGAA